CCUACGGGGGGCUGCAGUGAGGAAUAUUGGUCAAUGGACGAGAGUCUGAACCAGCCAAGUAGCGUGAAGGAUGACUGCCCUAUGGGUUGUAAACUUCUUUUAUAUGGGAAUAAAAUGUUCCACGUGUGGGAUUUUGUAUGUACCAUAUGAAUAAGGAUCGGCUAACUCCGUGCCAGCAGCCGCGGUAAUACGGAGGAUCCGAGCGUUAUCCGGAUUUAUUGGGUUUAAAGGGAGCGUAGGUGGAUUGUUAAGUCAGUUGUGAAAGUUUGCGGAUCAACCGUAAAAUUGCAGUUGAAACUGGCAGUCUUGAGUACAGUAGAGGUGGGCGGAAUUCGUGGUGUAGCGGUGAAAUGCUUAGAUAUCACGAAGAACUCCGAUUGCGAAGGCAGUUCACUGGACUGCAACUGACACUGAGGCUCGAAAGUGUGGGUAUCAAACAGGAUUAGAUACCCUUGUAGUC
RNAcentral lists this ribosomal RNA (460 nucleotides) under uncultured bacterium. RNAcentral's name for it is "partial 16S ribosomal RNA". It matches the Rfam family "Bacterial small subunit ribosomal RNA", at positions 338 to 795 of the family's 1533-position model. The record is from RNAcentral.